AUUGAACGCUGGCGGCAGGCCUAACACAUGCAAGUCGAGCGAGCGGCGGACGGGUGAGUAAUGCCUGGGAAUUGCCCAGUCGAGGGGGAUAACAGUUGGAAACGACUGCUAAUACCCUAUACGAUUGGAUCUCCCAGGUGGGUGUAGCUAGUUGGGGAGUUAAUGGCGCACAAAGGCGACGAUCCAUAUCUGGUCUGAGAGGAUGGUCAGCCACACUGGAACGGAGACACGGUCCAGACGCCUACGGGAGGCAGCAGUGGGGAAGAUUGCACAAUGGGGGAAACCCUGAUGCAGCCAUGCCGCGUGUGUGAAGAAGGCCUUCGGGUUGUAAAGCACUUGCAGCGAGGAGGCGUUACUCGCAGAAGAAGCACCGGCUAACUCCGUGCCAGCCGCCGCGGUAAUAC
This 404-nucleotide ribosomal RNA is filed under the name uncultured bacterium. Its description in RNAcentral is "partial 16S ribosomal RNA". It matches the Rfam family "Bacterial small subunit ribosomal RNA", at positions 30 to 526 of the family's 1533-position model. The record is from RNAcentral.